RNAcentral lists this ribosomal RNA (202 nucleotides) under uncultured Streptococcus sp. RNAcentral describes it as "partial 16S ribosomal RNA". It matches the Rfam family "Bacterial small subunit ribosomal RNA", at positions 1183 to 1382 of the family's 1533-position model. Lineage: Bacteria; Bacillati; Bacillota; Bacilli; Lactobacillales; Streptococcaceae. The record is from RNAcentral.
CGUCAAAUCAUCAUGCCCCUUAUGACCUGGGCUACACACGUGCUACAAUGGUUGGUACAACGAGUUGCGAGUCGGUGACGGCGAAGCUAAAUCUCUUAAAGCCAAUCUCAGUUCGGAUUGUAGGCUGCAACUCGCCUACAUGAAGUCGGAAUCGCUAGUAAUCGCGGAUCAGCACGCCGCGGUGAAUACGUUCCCGGGCCUU